GCGCCCGUAGCUCAGUCGGAUAGAGCAACGGCCUUCUAAGCCGUGGGUCGAGGGUUCGAAUCCUUCCGGGCGUACCA
Molecule: transfer RNA, 77 nt
Filed under: Acidobacteriota bacterium
Lineage: Bacteria; Pseudomonadati; Acidobacteriota
Description: Acidobacteria bacterium (activated sludge metagenome) tRNA-Arg
Rfam family: tRNA
About the family: Transfer RNA (tRNA) molecules are approximately 80 nucleotides in length. Their secondary structure includes four short double-helical elements and three loops (D, anti-codon, and T loops). Further hydrogen bonds mediate the characteristic L-shaped molecular structure. tRNAs have two regions of fundamental functional importance: the anti-codon, which is responsible for specific mRNA codon recognition, and the 3' end, to which the tRNAs corresponding amino acid is attached (by aminoacyl-tRNA synthetases). tRNAs cope with the degeneracy of the genetic code in two manners: having more than one tRNA (with a specific anti-codon) for a particular amino acid; and 'wobble' base-pairing, i.e. permitting non-standard base-pairing at the 3rd anti-codon position.
Source: RNAcentral